UAAGGCGCAUGCGCGACCUUAUAAGGGCCCCUGCACCUGUCGAUGAGGUUUCUGUGUCUCAUAGUCACACUAACCCUCAAUGACAGGAACUCAUCCACCCCUGCUCAGGCAGUCGUGGCUUUGGAAAUUAUUCCAGAUGAGAGUAUCCUUUGUGGAACCACUCCACCUGCUGUGUCUGGGACUCGCGUGGGUUGCAUUACAAAUCUGUGCCCGGCUGAGAGGACUGUUGGUCCUUCUGAGGUUGUGGUCCCUGGUCCCGAGUUUCCAAUGGAUGGAGCGGGGGGCGGCAGCAGCUCACCCGGCAGAGCCAGUUCAAGCCAGAGAUUCCAGAGGCAGCUCCCUCGGAGGGGACUCUCUUCUUGGUGCUUGCGACCGGGGGCCUGGCGUUCUGGCCUCAUCUGAAAUCCAGGGCCCGCUCUACUUUUACUCAAGAGGAUUUAUUUUGGGGAGGCUGCAGUCCUCAGAUUCCCCGGAAACAUGCACCGGGAACAGGUAAGAGCUCGAUUUCAUUGGCUGAAAGAUAAGUACUUAGAAACAUCCGGCAUUCUGAAAGUCAGAAAGGUAAAAACCAACCCAAAUGUCUUUCAGGUUCACGUGAUCUGGGAUAAUCUUUGGUAAAUUAAAACAGACAUGUCUUUUGGAGUUUCC
This 648-nucleotide long non-coding RNA is filed under the name Neogale vison (American mink). RNAcentral describes it as "Neovison vison (American mink) lncRNA (ENSNVIG00000024914.1)". The record is from RNAcentral. Lineage: Eukaryota; Metazoa; Chordata; Mammalia; Carnivora; Mustelidae.